Molecule: ribosomal RNA, 799 nt
Filed under: Streptomyces sp. HVA3
Lineage: Bacteria; Bacillati; Actinomycetota; Actinomycetes; Kitasatosporales; Streptomycetaceae
Description: bacterial SSU rRNA
Rfam family: Bacterial small subunit ribosomal RNA
Source: RNAcentral
GUGCUUACACAUGCAAGUCGAACGAUGAACCACUUCGGUGGGGAUUAGUGGCGAACGGGUGAGUAACACGUGGGCAAUCUGCCCUGCACUCUGGGACAAGCCCUGGAAACGGGGUCUAAUACCGGAUAUUGACCUUCACGGGCAUCUGUGAGGUUCGAAAGCUCCGGCGGUGCAGGAUGAGCCCGCGGCCUAUCAGCUUGUUGGUGAGGUAAUGGCUCACCAAGGCGACGACGGGUAGCCGGCCUGAGAGGGCGACCGGCCACACUGGGACUGAGACACGGCCCAGACUCCUACGGGAGGCAGCAGUGGGGAAUAUUGCACAAUGGGCGAAAGCCUGAUGCAGCGACGCCGCGUGAGGGAUGACGGCCUUCGGGUUGUAAACCUCUUUCAGCAGGGAAGAAGCGAAAGUGACGGUACCUGCAGAAGAAGCGCCGGCUAACUACGUGCCAGCAGCCGCGGUAAUACGUAGGGCGCAAGCGUUGUCCGGAAUUAUUGGGCGUAAAGAGCUCGUAGGCGGCUUGUCACGUCGGUUGUGAAAGCCCGGGGCUUAACCCCGGGUCUGCAGUCGAUACGGGCAGGCUAGAGUUCGGUAGGGGAGAUCGGAAUUCCUGGUGUAGCGGUGAAAUGCGCAGAUAUCAGGAGGAACACCGGUGGCGAAGGCGGAUCUCUGGGCCGAUACUGACGCUGAGGAGCGAAAGCGUGGGGAGCGAACAGGAUUAGAUACCCUGGUAGUCCACGCCGUAAACGGUGGGCACUAGGUGUGGGCAACAUUCCACGUUGUCCGUGCCGCAGCUAACGC